AAUGAUGCACUAGUUGUAGUUUUGUUUCCCAGGGUUAGAUUGUUGUUUCUAAGGCCUUUUGGUAUAGAGUCUUUGAGUAGUAAGCUUUUUGUUCUCUAAUUUUGAUAGUGUUUGGAGGUAUGCUUUAGUGUUGUAUUGGGCCUUUCUAAGAGGAUAAUUUUGUAGUCUUUUAUGAUAGGUUAGAGAAUAAAUGGAAGUAUUUUAAAUGAGGGACUAAAUUGAUGGA
This 226-nucleotide long non-coding RNA is filed under the name Trifolium pratense (red clover). Its description in RNAcentral is "long non-coding RNA (TPRA_LNC010919)". Lineage: Eukaryota; Viridiplantae; Streptophyta; Magnoliopsida; Fabales; Fabaceae. The record is from RNAcentral.